Molecule: ribosomal RNA, 425 nt
Filed under: uncultured soil bacterium
Lineage: Bacteria
Description: bacterial SSU rRNA
Rfam family: Bacterial small subunit ribosomal RNA
Source: RNAcentral
AGAGCGAACGCUGGCGGCAGGCCUAACACAUGCAAGUCGAACGGAUCCUUCGGGAUUAGUGGCGGACGGGUGAGUAACACGUGGGAACGUGCCCUUUGGUUCGGAACAACUCAGGGAAACUUGAGCUAAUACCGGAUAAGCCUUUCGAGGGAAAGAUUUAUCGCCAUUGGGGCGGCCCGCGUAGGAUUAGCUAGUUGGUGAGGUAAAAGCUCACCAAGGCGACGAUCCUUAGCUGGUCUGAGAGGAUGAUCAGCCACAUUGGGACUGAGACACGGCCCAAACUCCUACGGGAGGCAGCAGUGGGAAUCUGCGCAAGUGGGACGAAAGCCUAGACGCAAGCCAUCGCCGCGUAGAAUGAUGAAGGUCUUAGGAUUAGUAAAUUCUUACGACGGGACAUAAGUGACGGUACCGAGAACGACGCCCGG